GCCACCUCCUUGGCUUUCUGCAAUGCGAUCUUCUGACUGGCAGCCUCCUCCUCUUCUUGCUCAUCCUGCCGGGAAAGAGAGGCGGAAGGAGGUAAAGGACGUCAAUGGAGGAAGCAGAGUGGAGGACAAAAAGCUUUAGUCACGAUGAGAAAAUCUGAAAGCGGUUCCGGCUGGUCGUAGUGCACGACAGCCACGCACAGCGUGUUGAGGCCCACCAAACACAGUACAGUCCAGUAGAAGGCCUGGGACUUCACGAUGUGUCGGAUAAAGAAGCGCAGUCGUCUUUCUCGCCUCUUGAAAGAUGACCCUUCCAACUUUGAGCUUUUUAAGCUAGCGCGGGCAAAAGGUGAACCUAAGAGGGUCCCCCUCCCCCUCCUCUGGGUUGAGAAGCUCAGCUUUGCUCUUGUGGUUCUUGGUGGCUCUCCUCCGGGAGCCUGGAGCAGAAAGCAGCAGUCCAUAUUGAAUCAAACCAUCUGCAUUCACUUCAGUUCGUGAAUGAUU
Syngnathoides biaculeatus (alligator pipefish) is the source of this 501-nucleotide long non-coding RNA. RefSeq lists it as uncharacterized. NCBI's taxonomy places the organism in Eukaryota, Metazoa, Chordata, Actinopteri, Syngnathiformes, Syngnathidae. The record is from RefSeq and is a predicted model, not a curated record. The transcript is spliced from 3 exons.